This 468-nucleotide ribosomal RNA is filed under the name uncultured bacterium. Its description in RNAcentral is "partial 16S ribosomal RNA". It matches the Rfam family "Bacterial small subunit ribosomal RNA", at positions 28 to 507 of the family's 1533-position model. The record is from RNAcentral.
GACGAACGCUGGCGGCGUGCUUAACGCAUGCAAGUCGAACGGAAAGGCCCUGCUUUUGUGGGGUGCUCGAGUGGCGAACGGGUGAGUAACACGUGAGUAACCUGCCCUUGACUUUGGGAUAACUUCAGGAAACUGGGGCUAAUACCGGAUAGGAGCUCCUGCUGCAUGGUGGGGGUUGGAAAGUUUCGGCGGUUGGGGAUGGACUCGCGGCUUAUCAGCUUGUUGGUGGGGUAGUGGCUUACCAAGGCUUUGACGGGUAGCCGGCCUGAGAGGGUGACCGGCCACAUUGGGACUGAGAUACGGCCCAGACUCCUACGGGAGGCAGCAGUGGGGAAUAUUGCACAAUGGGCGGAAGCCUGAUGCAGCAACGCCGCGUGCGGGAUGACGGCCUUCGGGUUGUAAACCGCUUUCGCCUGUGACGAAGCGUGAGUGACGGUAACGGGUAAAGAAGCACCGGCUAACUACGUG